Molecule: ribosomal RNA, 357 nt
Filed under: uncultured Desulfovibrio sp.
Lineage: Bacteria; Pseudomonadati; Thermodesulfobacteriota; Desulfovibrionia; Desulfovibrionales; Desulfovibrionaceae
Description: bacterial SSU rRNA
Rfam family: Bacterial small subunit ribosomal RNA
Source: RNAcentral
AAUUCCGAGACAGGCGCUGCAUGGCUGUCGUCAGCUCGUGCCGUGAGGUGUUGGGUAAGUCCCGCAACGAGCGCAACCCCUAUUGCCAGUUGCUACCAGGUAAUGCUGGGCACUCUGGUGAGACUGCCCCGGUUAACGGGGAGGAAGGUGGGGACGACGUCAAGUCAUCAUGGCCCUUACGCCUAGGGCUACACACGUACUACAAUGGCGCAUACAAAGGGCAGCGAUACCGCGAGGUGGAGCCAAUCCCAAAAGGUGCGUCCCAGUCCGGAUUGCAGUCUGCAACUCGACUGCAUGAAGUUGGAAUCGCUAGUAAUUCGAGAUCAGCAUGCUCGGGUGAAUGCGUUCCCGGGCCUU